This 253-nucleotide ribosomal RNA is filed under the name uncultured bacterium. RNAcentral's name for it is "partial 16S ribosomal RNA". It matches the Rfam family "Bacterial small subunit ribosomal RNA", at positions 524 to 776 of the family's 1533-position model. The record is from RNAcentral.
UACAGAGGGGGCAAGCGUUAUUCGGAAUUAUUGGGCGUAAAGGGCGCGUAGGCGGCUUUGCAAGUGACGGGUGAAAUCCCUCGGCUUAACCGAGGAACUGCCUGUCAAACUGCAUGGCUUGAGACCGGGAGAGGUGAGUGGAAUUCCUGGUGUAGCGGUGAAAUGCGCAGAUAUCAGGAGGAACACCGGUGGCGAAGGCGGCAUCCUGGACCGGUAUUGACGCUGAGGCGCGAAAGCCAGGGGAGCAAACGGG